Molecule: ribosomal RNA, 470 nt
Filed under: uncultured Acinetobacter sp.
Lineage: Bacteria; Pseudomonadati; Pseudomonadota; Gammaproteobacteria; Moraxellales; Moraxellaceae
Description: bacterial SSU rRNA
Rfam family: Bacterial small subunit ribosomal RNA
Source: RNAcentral
GACCUACGGGUGGCUGCAGUGGGGAAUAUUGGACAAUGGGGGGAACCCUGAUCCAGCCAUGCCGCGUGUGUGAAGAAGGCCUUUUGGUUGUAAAGCACUUUAAGUGGGGAGGAGGCUCUCUUGGUUAAUACCUAAGAAGAGUGGACGUUACCCACAGAAUAAGCACCGGCUAACUCUGUGCCAGCAGCCGCGGUAAUACAGAGGGUGCUAGCGUUAAUCGGAUUUACUGGGCGUAAAGCGCGCGUAGGUGGGUAAUUAAGUCAAAUGUGAAAUCCCCGAGCUUAACUUGGGAAUUGCAUUCGAUACUGGUUAGCUAGAGUAUGGGAGAGGAUGGUAGAAUUCCAGGUGUAGCGGUGAAAUGCGUAGAGAUCUGGAGGAAUACCGAUGGCGAAGGCAGCCAUCUGGCCUAAUACUGACACUGAGGUGCGAAAGCAUGGGGAGCAAACAGGAUUAGAUACCCUUGUAGUCCG